This 1078-nucleotide ribosomal RNA is filed under the name uncultured stramenopile. RNAcentral describes it as "bacterial SSU rRNA". It matches the Rfam family "Eukaryotic small subunit ribosomal RNA", at positions 577 to 1674 of the family's 1831-position model. The record is from RNAcentral.
CGGUAAUUCCAGCUCCAAUAGCGUAUACUAACGUUGUUGCAGUUAAAAAGCUCGUAGUUGGAUUUCUGAUCUUUGCCAAUGGUUGUGUCGCCGCGUGCGAGGCGCCUUGCGCAGAGGUCAACAUAUGUCACGAGCCAGUGUGAUCUAUUCAUUUAGGUCCACUGGGUAAUGACUCGUUUACUUUGAGAAAAUUAGAGUGUUCAAAGCAGGCAUUUGCCUUGAAUAUGUUAGCAUGGAAUAAUAGCAUAGGACUUCGGUUCUAUUUGUUGGUUGUUCGAGAACUGGAGUAAUGAUUGAUAGGGACGGUUGGGGGCAUCCGUAUUCUCAAGCGAGAGGUGAAAUUCUUGGACCUUGGGAAGACGAACAGCUGCGAAAGCGUUUGCCUAGGACGUUCUCUUUAAUCAAGAACGAAAGUUGGGGGAUCGAAGACGAUCAGAUACCGUCGUAGUCUCAACUAUAAACUAUGCCAGCUAGGGAUCGGUGGGUCUUUGUCACGAGUCCAUCGGCACCUUACGAGAAAUCAAAGCAUUUGGGUUCCGGGGGGAGUAUGGUCGCAAGGCUGAAACUUAAAGGAAUUGACGGAAGGGCACCACCAGGAGUGGAGCCUGUGGCUUAAUUUGACUCAACACGGGAAAACUUACCAGGUCCGGACAUAGUAAGGAUUGACAGAUUGAAAGCUCUUUCUUGAUUCUAUGGGUGGUGGUGCAUGGCCGUUCUUAGUUGGUGGAGUGAUUUGUCUGGUUAAUUCCGUUAACGAACGAGACCCGCGCCUGCUAAAUAAUCGGCCUCACUUCUGUGGGUGUUGUACUUCUUAGAGGGACCAUCCUGGGUAUACCGGAAGGAAGUUGCGGGCAAUAACAGGUCUGUGAUGCCCUUAGAUGUUCUGGGCUGCACACGGGCUACACUGCAAGAUACAACAAGCGUCGAUCACGCCUGACUGGAAGGUCCGGCCAAUCUUUGAAUAUCUUGCGUGAUUGGGAUAGACCAUUGCAAUUAUUGGUCUUCAACGAGGAAUUCCUAGUAAACGCGUGUCAACAACACGCAUUGAUUACGUCCCUGCCCCUUGUACACACCGCCC